Molecule: small RNA, 124 nt
Filed under: Vibrio crassostreae
Lineage: Bacteria; Pseudomonadati; Pseudomonadota; Gammaproteobacteria; Vibrionales; Vibrionaceae
Description: t44
Rfam family: t44 RNA
About the family: This family consists of a number of bacterial RNA genes of between 135 and 170 bases in length. The t44 gene is found between the map and rpsB genes in all species in the full alignment apart from Shigella flexneri.
Source: RNAcentral
UAACUUAUUUCUUUAAAUCACACACAUUCCGACACAUGUUCCGGGGUGCCUCAACAACACAGAUAACGGCUGAAAAGUGGUUAGUUGUUAGGGGUCGGAUUCAUGGGGGAUGUGGAGGCCUAAC